RNAcentral lists this ribosomal RNA (254 nucleotides) under uncultured bacterium. Its description in RNAcentral is "partial 16S ribosomal RNA". It matches the Rfam family "Bacterial small subunit ribosomal RNA", at positions 524 to 776 of the family's 1533-position model. The record is from RNAcentral.
CACGUAGGGUGCGAGCGUUGUCCGGAAUUAUUGGGCGUAAAGAGCUCGUAGGCGGUGUGUCACGUCGGCCGUGAAAACCUGCAGCUUAACUGUGGGCUUGCGGUCGAUACGGGCAUCACUGGAGUUCGGCGGGGGAGACUGGAAUUCCUGGUGUAGCGGUGAAAUGCGCAGAUAUCAGGAGGAACACCGGUGGCGAAGGCGGGUCUCUGGGCCGAUACUGACGCUGAGGAGCGAAAGCGUGGGGAGCGAACAGG